RNAcentral lists this ribosomal RNA (458 nucleotides) under uncultured bacterium. RNAcentral describes it as "partial 16S ribosomal RNA". It matches the Rfam family "Bacterial small subunit ribosomal RNA", at positions 338 to 795 of the family's 1533-position model. The record is from RNAcentral.
CCUACGGGUGGCAGCAGUGAGGAAUAUUGGUCAAUGGGCGAGAGCCUGAACCAGCCAAGUCGCGUGAGGGAGUACUGCCCUAUGGGUUGUAAACCUCUUUUGUCGGGGAGCAAAAGCCGGACGUGUCCGGCUGUGAGAGUACCCGAAGAAAAAGCAUCGGCUAACUCCGUGCCAGCAGCCGCGGUAAUACGGGGGAUGCGAGCGUUAUCCGGAUUUAUUGGGUUUAAAGGGUGCGCAGGCGGAUUUUAAAUACAGCGGUAAAAUCGUGGGGCUCAACCCCGUCCAGCCGUUGAAACUGGGGAUCUAGAGUGUGCGAGAGGUAUGCGGAAUGCGUGGUGUAGCGGUGAAAUGCAUAGAUAUCACGCAGAACACCGAUUGCGAAGGCAGCAUACCGGUGCACAACUGACGCUCAGGCACGAAAGCGUGGGUAUCGAACAGGAUUAGAUACCCGAGUAGUC